This 64-nucleotide small RNA is filed under the name Aliterella atlantica CENA595. RNAcentral describes it as "Cyanobacterial functional RNA 1". It matches the Rfam family "Cyanobacterial functional RNA 1". RNAcentral also lists the same sequence under 1 other name. Lineage: Bacteria; Bacillati; Cyanobacteriota; Cyanophyceae; Chroococcidiopsidales; Aliterellaceae. The record is from Rfam by way of RNAcentral.
GCGGAGACAAAUGUUUCCGUUCACUCCUCACACCACACUUCGCCCGAAUUACUAUUCGGGCGUU